Long non-coding RNA from Oncorhynchus keta (chum salmon), 1811 nucleotides. RefSeq lists it as uncharacterized. The transcript is spliced from 10 exons. The record is from RefSeq and is a predicted model, not a curated record. Lineage: Eukaryota; Metazoa; Chordata; Actinopteri; Salmoniformes; Salmonidae.
GACUCUACAAGGUGUUGAAAGCGUUCCACAGGGAUGCUGGCCCAUGUUGACUCUACAAGGUGUUGAAAGCGUUCCACAGGGAUGCUGGCCCGUGUUGACUCUACAAGGUGUCUAAAGCGUUCCACAGGGAUGCUGGCCCCAUGUUGACUCUACAAGGUGUUGAAAGCGUUCCACAGGGAUGCUGGCCCAUGUUGACUCUACAAGGUGUUGAAAGCGUUCCACAGGGAUGCUGGUCCAUGUUGACUCUACAAGGUGUUGAAAGCGUUCCACAGGGAUGCUGGCCCAUGUUGACUCUACAAGGUGUCUAAAGCGUUCCACAGGGAUGCUGGCCCAUGUUGACUCUACAAGGUGUAGAAAGCGUUCCACAGGGAUGCUGGUCCAUGUUGACUCUACAAGGUGUCUAAAGCGUUCCACAGGGAUGCUGGCCCAUGUUGACUCUACAAGGUGUAGAAAGCGUUCCACAGGGAUGCUGGCCCAUGUUGACUCCACAAGGUGUUGAAAGCGUUCCACAGGGAUGCUGGCCCAUGUUGACUCCACAAGGUGUUGAAAGCGUUCCACAGGGAUGCUGGCCCAUGUUGACUCCACAAGGUGUUGAAAGCGUUCCACAGGGAUGCUGGCCCAUGUUGACUCUACAAGGUGUAGAAAGCGUUCCACAGGGAUGCUGGCCCCAUGUUGACUCUACAAGGUGUUGAAAGCGUUCCACAGGGAUGCUGGCCCAUGUUGACUCUACAAGGUGUUGAAAGCGUUCCACAGGGAUGCUGGUCCAUGUUGACUCUACAAGGUGUUGAAAGCGUUCCACAGGGAUGCUGGCCCAUGUUGACUCUACAAGGUGUUGAAAGCGUUCCACAGGGAUGCUGGCCCAUGUUGACUCUACAAGGUGUCUAAAGCGUUCCACAGGGAUGCUGGCCCAUGUUGACUCUACAAGGUGUUGAAAGCGUUCCACAGGGAUGCUGGCCCAUGUUGACUCUACAAGGUGUUGAAAGCGUUCCACAGGGAUGCUGGCCCAUGUUGACUCCACAAGGUGUUGAAAGCGUUCCACAGGGAUGCUGGCCCCAUGUUGACUCUACAAGGUGUUGAAAGCGUUCCACAGGGAUGCUGGCCCAUGUUGACUCUACAAGGUGUUGAAAGCGUUCCACAGGGAUGCUGGCCCCAUGUUGACUCUACAAGGUGUUGAAAGCGUUCCACAGGGAUGCUGGCCCAUGUUGACUCUACAAGGUGUUGAAAGCGUUCCACAGGGAUGCUGGCCCAUGUUGACUCCACAAGGUGUUGAAAGCGUUCCACAGGGAUGCUGGCCCCAUGUUGACUCUACAAGGUGUUGAAAGCGUUCCACAGGGAUGCUGGCCCAUGUUGACUCUACAAGGUGUUGAAAGCGUUCCACAGGGAUGCUGGCCCCAUGUUGACUCUACAAGGUGUUGAAAGCGUUCCACAGGGAUGCUGGCCCAUGUUGACUCUACAAGGUGUUGAAAGCGUUCCACAGGGAUGCUGGCCCCAUGUUGACUCUACAAGGUGUUGAAAGCGUUCCACAGGGAUGCUGGCCCCAUGUUGACUCUACAAGGUGUUGAAAGCGUUCCACAGGGAUGCUGGUCCAUGUUGACUCUACAAGGUGUUGAAAGCGUUCCACAGGGAUGCUGGCCCAUGUUGACUCUACAAGGUGUUGAAAGCGUUCCACAGGGAUGCUGGUCCAUGUUGACUCCAAUGCUUCCCACAGUUGUCUAAAACCCAGCAGCGUUGCAGUUCUUGACUCAACCCGGUGCGCCUGGCACCUACUACCAAACCUCGUUCAAAGGCACUUCAAUAUUUUUUGUCUUGCU